This is a long non-coding RNA of Balaenoptera musculus (blue whale), 1307 nucleotides long. RefSeq lists it as uncharacterized. The transcript is spliced from 6 exons. NCBI's taxonomy places the organism in Eukaryota, Metazoa, Chordata, Mammalia, Artiodactyla, Balaenopteridae. The record is from RefSeq and is a predicted model, not a curated record.
GCGAGGGUUGCCCGGUGGUUUCCGUCCCGGCCCGCCAAGCCUGCGGCGCCCAGGUUUGCGCCUGUCGGUAGCUAGAGGGGGCGGUCCCCGCGCGCCCCUCCGCCCAGCGCGUUUCCCGCCGCCCUCCCGCUAGGGGCGCGACGCCCUCCGCCUCCAUCUCCGCCCCCAGGAUCUGCGGCUGCCAGCUUCCGAGCGCGGCUUCCCCGGACGGCGGCGCGAUGGGCUGCGGGAACUCCACCGCCACCAGCGCGGGCGCGGGCCAAGGCCCUGCAGGAGCAGCUAAAGAUGUAACAGAAGAAUCAAUAACAGAAGAUGACAAGAGGAGAAACUAUGGAGGGGUGUAUGUUGGUCUACCAUCUGAAGCUGUCAAUAUGGUGUCCAAUCAAACAAAGACUGUGCGAAAAAAUUAGAAGAAAGUAAUAUCAUGACAAUAAUCAAGAGCCUCCUCAUCAAGAUCUGGAUGGAAUUUUUGCUUCGUGGGAUUUUGUAACGUGCACAGACAUUUCCAAGGAAAUUCUAAGCAUUCGCCGCCCCCCCCCCAGCCCCAAAUUCUUAGUUUAUAGUUAAAACCAUGGGUACAUAUUGAAUGUUGUGGUACUAGAAAGGAAUUGGUUAAACAACACACGUAUAUGGAACUAUAUUUGGUCCACCUGCGGGGAAGGCAAGCUUACAAAGGGUUCUUGCCCAGCUGGCUGCUGUGCCCCAGCUGCGUUCUCACCCUGGCCAUCCCCACAGCUCAUGAAGAUCAUGUCUUUUCACUGAUACUUUUUUGAUAGUUUUUAUAUAGCAAAAUCCUUCAUCUAUUUAUAACUUACAAUAAUAAGGCACUAUCGAUGAAUUACCCAAAGUAAUAUAUUUGUCUGUUAUCUUUCACUAUUUCUACUUCAUGUUAAUGUUUAGCUGUAAAAUUGUUAAAUUGAUUCUUACUGUUAUCUCUUUCCUUUUUUACUAUUUGGUUUUCAGCUUUAUUUAAAUAUCAGAGGAGUUUCUUUAUUGGGAGCAAUGUACUACAUGGCAAUACUUAAACUGUUGAGAUUUGCAUGCCGUAUGUACAUUUUGAUUAAUUUCCUAUUUUCUUUAGUCAAAGGCUUAUGUAACCACAAAUACUUAAUAGCCAUUGAUUCUCCCAUUCUACCUGUGUGUGAUCAGAACAUCUCAUCAUGUUAAUUCUACACUGUUUUCAAGGACUUGUCACUGAUGGUUAGUCGGAUAUUUGGAAAGUUCUUAAUUUGAUAGUGAUCAUGUGUAUCCACUUAGUACUGAAAUGUAAAUCACUCAAUUUACCAGUGUAUUUCAACAAUUAAAAC